CCUACGGGAGGCAGCAGUGGGGAAUUUUGGACAAUGGGCGAAAGCCUGAUCCAGCAAUGCCGCGUGAGUGAAGAAGGCCUUCGGGUUGUAAAGCUCUUUUGUCAGGGAAGAAACGGCAUGGGCUAAUAUCCCGUGCUAAUGACGGUACCUGAAGAAUAAGCACCGACUAACUACGUGCCAGCAGCCGCGGUAAUACGUAGGGUGCAAGCGUUAAUCGGAAUUACUGGGCGUAAAGCGUGCGCAGGCGGUUUUGUAAGUUUGUCGUGAAAUCCCCGGGCUCAACCUGGGAAUGGCGAUGAAGACUGCAAGGCUAGAAUCUGGCAGAGGGGGGUAGAAUUCCACGUGUAGCAGUGAAAUGCGUAGAGAUGUGGAGGAACACCGAUGGCGAAGGCAGCCCCCUGGGUCAAGAUUGACGCUCAUGCACGAAAGCGUGGGGAGCAAACAGGAUUAGAUACCCUGGUAGUCCACGCCCUAAACGAUGUCUACUAGUUGUCGGGUUUUAAUUAACUUGGUAACGCAGCUAACGCGUGAAGUAGACCGCCUGGGGAGUACGGUCGCAAGAUUAAAACUCAAAUGAAUUGACGG
This 585-nucleotide ribosomal RNA is filed under the name uncultured bacterium. Its description in RNAcentral is "bacterial SSU rRNA". It matches the Rfam family "Bacterial small subunit ribosomal RNA", at positions 338 to 916 of the family's 1533-position model. The record is from RNAcentral.